ACCAGGUUCACCUUCUGCCUCAACCUGCUAAAACAAGAGACCCAAUUUCAUUUGCUACUAAAUGCAGCAAAAACACCUAAAACAACAAGGAAAACAAAAAAACACACGCCCUGAUUGGCCUAAAGCUAAAAUAGCUGUGAAGGAAAUGCAAGCAGAAAUGAAAUUACCAUGAUUGUAACAUAAUGCAACAAAUAAUUUUCUCCACUUUUUGAUCAGAAAGAUAAUAUCUUAAAAUGCAUCAUACAAUCAUCUAAAGUGGACUUUUAUGGUGAAAUAGCGUAGGACCCAUUGCAAAAGCACUAAAAUUUAAAAGUAUUAUGCUGUUUCAUUUUGCAACUUCAAAUUUUCAAUAGCCAACAAUUUUGAAAUCAAAGUUUAAGGGUGCACUUACUUCUAUGGAACUGAUGUUGCAUAAAUUAACAUGUUUAAAUUCCAAAUUACAAAUACGAAAUAGCAAAUGAAUUACAUAAAAUGCAUAGAAUUCAGUUGUUCCAAAAUUGUAAAAGACAGAAAAAAAAAAUCCAUUUUAAAACCAAUUAAACACAAUUGAUACAAUGCAUACAUAGAUUAGCCACCACAUCACACUACAUAAAACCUACAAAAGUUCUUUCAUGGAAAUCACAGCUUGAUUUAUUCUAUCAUCAUUGAACCAAUCAUAAUUUCAACACAAUUACAAAACUUCAAAUUGUAACAUUAAAAUCACUCUACUCUAAUUUUAGUCUCAAUAAAAAUUGUCUUGUAUAUUUUUUCUUUUUUGAAGCAAGCUGUAGAACUUAAUAUCUCACACACACACACACACACA
RNAcentral lists this unclassified non-coding RNA (802 nucleotides) under Hevea brasiliensis (rubber tree). Lineage: Eukaryota; Viridiplantae; Streptophyta; Magnoliopsida; Malpighiales; Euphorbiaceae. The record is from RNAcentral.